This is a non-coding RNA of Desmophyllum pertusum, 72 nucleotides long. NCBI's taxonomy places the organism in Eukaryota, Metazoa, Cnidaria, Anthozoa, Scleractinia, Caryophylliidae. The record is from the annotation of a GenBank genome assembly.
UCUCCUGUAGCUCAGUGGUAGAGCGUCUGACCAGUGUGCGGAAGGUCUUAGGUUCGACUCUUAUUGGAAGAA